This is a long non-coding RNA of Asparagus officinalis (garden asparagus), 321 nucleotides long. RefSeq lists it as uncharacterized. The transcript has 3 exons. The record is from RefSeq and is a predicted model, not a curated record. Lineage: Eukaryota; Viridiplantae; Streptophyta; Magnoliopsida; Asparagales; Asparagaceae.
AGGCAGAUGUCGAUGCCGGCGGCGUCGAGGUGGACGGCGGCGGGGUAGUCGUAGGCGGUGACCAUGGUGAUGGGUUCGCCGUGCUUGUGUUUAUUGUGGAGAUGAUAUUCUGAUGCCGUCAUGGUUUGACAUUCAUGAUAUUCCUAUAACCGUUGAUGAUGAGGAAGAAGGUGAAGAAGGAGAAGAAGAGGGCUUGAGUAAAUGUAUAGGGAAGGAGUUGAAGAAGCUUCUGCAGUGUCAUAGCCAUUGUAAAUAAUUUAUGUAAAAGUUUGCAAACAAUUUAUGUAUCUCUCUACUAUUUUGGUGAAUGUAUUAUUUGAA